GACGAACGCUGGCGGCGUGCUUAACACAUGCAAGUCGAACGGAAAGGCCCUGCUUUUGUGGGGUGCUCGAGUGGCGAACGGGUGAGUAACACGUGAGUAACCUGCCCUUGACUUUGGGAUAACUUCAGGAAACUGGGGCUAAUACCGGAUAGGAGCUCCUGCUGCAUGGUGGGGGUUGGAAAGUUUCGGCGGUUGGGGAUGGACUCGCGGCUUAUCAGCUUGUUGGUGGGGUAGUGGCUUACCAAGGCUUUGACGGGUAGCCGGCCUGAGUGGGUGACCGGCCACAUUGGGACUGGGAUACGGCCCAGACUCCUACGGGAGGCAGCAGUGGGGAAUAUUGCACAAUGGGCGGAAGCCUGAUGCAGCAACUCCGCGUGCGGGAUGACGGCCUUCGGGUUGUAAACCGCUUUCGCCUGUGACGAAGCGUGAGUGACGGUAAUGGGUAAAGAAGCACCGGCUAACUACGUG
RNAcentral lists this ribosomal RNA (468 nucleotides) under uncultured bacterium. RNAcentral describes it as "partial 16S ribosomal RNA". It matches the Rfam family "Bacterial small subunit ribosomal RNA", at positions 28 to 507 of the family's 1533-position model. The record is from RNAcentral.